UACGGGGGGGGCAAGCGUUGUUCGGAAUUACUGGGCGUAAAGGGCUCGUAGGCGGCCAACUAAGUCGGACGUGAAAUCCCUCGGCUUAACCGGGGAACUGCGUCCGAUACUGGAUGGCUUGAGUGUGGGAGAGGGAUGCGGAAUUCCAGGUGUAGCGGUGAAAUGCGUAGAUAUCUGGAGGAACACCAAUAGCGAAGGCAGCUCGCUGGGACGGUAUUGACGCUAAGGCGCGAAAGCGUGGGGAGCAAACAGG
This 253-nucleotide ribosomal RNA is filed under the name uncultured bacterium. RNAcentral's name for it is "partial 16S ribosomal RNA". It matches the Rfam family "Bacterial small subunit ribosomal RNA", at positions 524 to 776 of the family's 1533-position model. The record is from RNAcentral.